RNAcentral lists this ribosomal RNA (468 nucleotides) under uncultured bacterium. RNAcentral's name for it is "partial 16S ribosomal RNA". It matches the Rfam family "Bacterial small subunit ribosomal RNA", at positions 28 to 507 of the family's 1533-position model. The record is from RNAcentral.
GACGAACGCUGGCGGCGUGCUUAACACAUGCAAGUCGAACGGAAAGGCCCUGCUUUUGUGGGGUGCUCGAGUGGCGAACGGGUGAGUAACACGUGUGUAACCUGCCCUUGACUUUGGGAUAACUUCAGGAAACUGGGGCUAAUACCGGAUAGGAGCUCCUGCUGCAUGGUGGGGGUUGGAAAGUUUCGGCGGUUGGGGAUGGACUCGCGGCUUAUCAGCUUGUUGGUGGGGUAGUGGCUUACCAAGGCUUUGACGGGUAGCCGGCCUGUGAGGGUGAACGGCCAAAAUGGGACUAGGGAACGGCCCAGAAGCCUACGGGAGGCAGCAGUGGGGAAUAUUGCACAAUGGGCGGAAGCCUGAUGCAGCAACGCCGCGUGCGGGAUGACGGCCUUCGGGUUGUAAACCGCUUUCGCCUGUGACGAAGCGUGAGUGACGGUAAUGGGUAAAGAAGCACCGGCUAACUACGUG